This 253-nucleotide ribosomal RNA is filed under the name uncultured bacterium. RNAcentral's name for it is "partial 16S ribosomal RNA". It matches the Rfam family "Bacterial small subunit ribosomal RNA", at positions 524 to 776 of the family's 1533-position model. The record is from RNAcentral.
UACGGAGGGGGCAAGCGUUAUUCGGAAUUAUUGGGCGUAAAGGGCGCGUAGGCGGCUUGGCAAGUGGAAGGUGAAAUCCCUCGGCUUAACCGAGGAACUGCCCUCCAAACUGCUUCGCUUGAGACCGGGAGAGGUGAGUGGAAUUCCCAGUGUAGCGGUGAAAUGCGUAGAUAUUGGGAGGAACACCAGUGGCGAAGGCGGCUCACUGGACCGGUACUGACGCUGAUGCGCGAAAGCAUGGGGAGCGAACAGG